Long non-coding RNA from Musca domestica (house fly), 3894 nucleotides. RefSeq lists it as uncharacterized. The record is from RefSeq and is a predicted model, not a curated record. NCBI's taxonomy places the organism in Eukaryota, Metazoa, Arthropoda, Insecta, Diptera, Muscidae. The transcript has 2 exons.
CGAAUUUGGUUACUCCAAUCUCCAUAACAUCAUGCGUUUGAGAGACGCAUUGAAGGGCCGAGCAAGGGAAACAGUGGAAUCCAUGUUGGGGAGUUCUGCCAACGUCAGCGCCAUUUUGGAAAUUCUGCAGGAAACAUUUGGUCGACCAGAGCAACUUAUCCGAAGCCAAGUAGAAAAAGUCCGAGCAUUCCACCGCUGGCAGAUGAUAAUUUGGAUGCACUUGUCAACUUUGCCAACAAACUCUCCAAUAUGGCCACUUUCCUAAAAAACGCCAAGGGUGAACACCAUCUAUCCAAUCCAUCGUUGCUGAGUGAGCUAGUGUCCAAACUGCCGAUAAACCGCCAAAUGCAAUGGGCCGAAAAAUGUCUGCAACUCCAGCACCCCGCCACUAUAGUGAUUUCAGCGAUUGGUUGGGAAUAUUACGCCGUCUCGCACAUAUGGUCCACGACACACAGCCAAUUUCAGCAACCUCGUCCAAUCGCCGACACACACAAACACAACAAAAAAAAUACGCAUAUGUCGCUGUCAGUUCGAGCUGUCCAAUUUGUCAGGGAGAGUGCAACAAUAUAAAAAUCUGUCCACACUUUUAAAAAUGACCAUCGAUGACCGAUGGAAUAAAAUUAAACAAAUUAAAACUUGUUUUUGUUGCUUAAAGAGAGGCCACCAACUUAAAAAUUGCCACUAUAAGCGUCGUUGUGGCAUAAAUGAUUGCCAAAAAUCACACCACCAAUUGUUGCACAAAACACUCGCGACGCCAUCCCAGGAACCGAAACCGAACAUUACCCACACACGAUUUGGAGCCACGAACGAACACCCCAUCUCUUCCCGACGCACCGCCGUCUCAAACACAACGAAGAAAUUGUCAUGCCGCCCACUACACCGAAAACGUACUGUUCCAGAUUUUGCCCGUGACGCUAUACGGAACACACAAACAAUAACGACGUACGCGUUCAUUGACGACGGCGCCAAUGUGUCCAUGCUGGACGAGGACGUGCUCGCGAACUCGGAGUACACGGGAAACCGGAGAUUUUAAAAAUUCAGUGGCUUAAUAACCAAAACAUAAACGAAAAAACAGAAAAAAUUAAUUUGACAAUUAGUGGUGUCGGUGAGUACAACAACAAGUACCCGAUAACCAAUGUUUACAUUUCGUCCAAUCUGUCAUUGCCAAUACAGAGUUGCCAUCUGGCUCAUUUAAUUAAAUCCCGUGAAAUCGACCAAAUCGCCGAAAUUCCAUUCCGGGAUUAUUCGAAUGUUCAACCUAAACUAAUAUUAAGCUUGCAACAUUCAUUUUUAACAGUUCCCUUGGAAGCUCCUCGUAUGAUGACCGAUGUUGGACCAAUCAUUACCCUAACGAGAUUAGGCGCCGUAAUUUAUGGACCGAUCCCAGGCGAGAAGAGUUCCAAUCUUAAGCGGGCUUUACACGUUAGGAAACGUUUCGAGGAAGAAAAUUGUGACUUUCUUAAGGAAAUGCAUACCAUGAUGCGGCAAUAUUUCGACGUGGAGACAUUGGGUACCAAGGUAAAUGUGACACCAAUUCUGUCCAUAGAUGAUGAACGAGCGUUAAAAAUAUUGAGAGAAAACACGAAAAGAAUCGAUGGGCGAUAUCAGUGUCCGCUUUUGUGGAAAGAACAUUUUUCUCCAAUUCCAGAAUCGUACAAUUUGUCGUACAACCGAUUGCAGUGUGUGGAACGAAAAAUGGCAAAGGACAGUGUAUAUGCAGCUCAAUAUUGCAAAAAGAUAAGAGACUACGAGGAAAAAGGAUAUUGCCGUAAACUUUCAGUAGCAGAACGAGAAAGAAGGAGCGACCGAACGUUUUAUUUGCCACAUUUUGGCGUUAAAAAUCCCAACAAAGAUGGAAUUCGUAUCGUCUUCGAUGCUGCUGCUGAAGUUCAACAAUUUCAUUAAAUAAAGCCUUAUUACCUGGACCUGACAUAAAUAACUCUUUAAUCUCUAUUCUUUUUAAAUUCAGGGAAUUUCCUGUAGCCGUGUGCGGAGAUAUACAAGAGAUGUUCCACCAAAUUGUAAUCGCCAAAGAAGAUCAGGACAGUCAGCGAUUUCUAUGGAGAAAUGGGGAUCCCAGUCAACCCUUAGAAACUUAUGUAAUGGAACGGAUGAUUUUUGGAGCCACUUGUUCGCCCACCAUAGCCCAAUAUGUAAAAAACCUAAAUGCCCGAAGGUUUAUAAAUGAGUCGCCAAGAGCAGUACAAGGAAUCAUCGAUCGUCAUUACGUAGACGAUUACGUCGACUGUUUCCAGACUGAAGGUGAGGCAGUUGAAGUGGUACGUGAUGUCAUAAAAAUUCACAAAGAGGGUGGAUUUAAUCUCCGCACAUCAAGUCUAAUUCCCUUGUUUUACAACGUAUGUUUGGCAACCCUAUUUCUGAUGAAAGUGAUGGCAACUCCAUUUUUGAUGAUGGAAUGGAACGGGUACUCGGUAUUCAUUGGCUGCCAAAAUCAGAUGUAUUUUGUUUUGAAUUAAAAUUACACAAAGUGGAUGAAAAGAUAUUGAAAUUGCAAAAAGUGCCAACGAAACGCGAAAUGUUGUCUUUAAAUAUGUCCGUAUUCGAUCCAUUCGGGUUUCUUGGUGAUUUUAUGGUGACGUCGAAGAUAAUUAUGCAAAAUGUGUGGAAAAGUCGUAUAAAGUGGGACGAGGAGUUGCCGUCCGCGAUUUAUAGCCGCUGGAAGACCUGGCUGGAGGAAUUGCCUAAAUUAAAGGAUUUCAAAGUUCCGAGGUGUUACAGUAAUGGAUUUUUUAAUGGUAUAGUAGAUUUGCAUGUGUUUGUGGAUGCCAGUGAAGAUGCAAUGGCUGCUGUGGCAUACUGGCGUAUAGUAACAAAUUGUGGUGUAAGUGUUGUGUUCGUUAUGGGCAAGACGAGCUGUGCCCCAACAAGAUACCAUACUAUACCUAAGCUUGAGUUGCAAGCAGCAGUAAUUGGAAUUCCUCAACAGUGAUAAGUUGGAUCCGUUCAGAACACCGUACAUACAAACAAUAUGUGGCAAAUAGAGUGUCGGAGAUUCUGGAAAGCAGCCGUAUGGAGCAGUGGCGGUGGUGUCCAGGAGCGGAAAACCCAGCUGACGAAGGGACCCGUGCUAAAGGACCCAAGAAGUACCAGCCAGAAGGACGUUGGAAAAAUGGGCCAGAAUUCCUGAGAAAAGAAGAGAAGUAUUGGCCGGACGAGGAACAAAUUGGAACAUGUGUGGAUCACAGCAAAACAGAGCUAAGAAACAAAUACAAAGUUUUGGUGGCUUGCCAGGUAUGUUUUUGUAUUCCAGAUAUUAAUAGAUUUUCAAAAUAUCGUAGGCUGAAACGGGCAAUGGAGACGUGGACGAGUCAUCGAAGUAUUCAGGGGCAAAGACGGAGUGGCACGAUCAGCCAAGGUGAGAACGAGUGCCGGUGUAUACCACAGACCUGUGUCCAAACUUGCCAUUUUGGACGUGGAAGCGGCUGGAGACGGAGUUGGUGAAGCCUCCCCCUCUGGGUCAGUUCACGGGGGUGGGGAUGUUAGAGAUGGUAACCCUGCAAUUACCAAAGCUAAAAAAGUGUAGCCAAAUUUGAAAUACCACUGUUAUAAAUGGCCGAAAUAUCCCAAGCGAAGAGGGAGACGAAACUAAAUUUAAGCCAACAUCUUCAUUUUGUUUAUUUUUGUUGUUUUGCUUAAUGUCACUUUUUAUAUAAAUAGGCCCUUAUGGCCAUUGUUUAUUCCCUUUUUUGUUAGAACCCAAAAAUAAGUAAGUCGUGUUAAUUUUUAUUGUUUUUAAAUUAAUAUUGUUAUUUUAUUUGUAAACUUAAUUUUUGUUAAAUUUUUAAAAUUCUUACAGAGAAUAAACAACGACAACUAAACUCACUAUUUGUAAACAAACAAACCAAAUAAACGCAGCUUUUUAUUUUGCCGAAA